UGUUGGUUCUCCCGCAACGCUACUCUGUUUACCAGGUCAGGUCCGGAAGGAAGCAGCCAAGGCAGAUGACGCUUGUGCCGGGAUGUAGCUGGCAGGG
RNAcentral lists this signal recognition particle RNA (97 nucleotides) under Escherichia coli. RNAcentral's name for it is "signal recognition particle sRNA small type". It matches the Rfam family "Bacterial small signal recognition particle RNA". Rfam says of the family: The signal recognition particle (SRP) is a universally conserved ribonucleoprotein involved in the co-translational targeting of proteins to membranes. Archaeal SRP consists of a 7S RNA and homologues of the eukaryotic SRP19 and SRP54 proteins. Lineage: Bacteria; Pseudomonadati; Pseudomonadota; Gammaproteobacteria; Enterobacterales; Enterobacteriaceae. The record is from RNAcentral.